GACGAACGCUGGCGGCGUGCUUAACACAUGCAAGUCGAACGGAAAGGCCCUGCUGUUGUGGGGUGCUCGAGUGGCGAACGGGUGAGUAACACGUGAGUAACCUGCCCUUGACUUUGGGAUAACUUCAGGAAACUGGGGCUAAUACCGGAUAGGAGCUCCUGCUGCAUGGUGGGGGUUGGAAAGGUUCGGCGGUUGGGGAUGGACUCGCGGCUUAUCAGCUUGUUGGUGGGGUAGUGGCUUACCAAGGCUUUGACGGGUAGCCGGCCUGAGAGGGUGACCGGCCACAUUGGGACUGGGAUACGGCCCAGACUCCUACGGGAGGCAGCGGUGGGGAAUAUUGCACAAUGGGCGGAGGCCUGAUGCAGCAACGCCGCGUGCGGGAUGACGGCCUUCGGGUUGUAAACCGCUUUCGCCUGUGACGAAGCGUGAGUGACGGUAAUGGGUAAAGAAGCACCGGCUAACUACGUG
RNAcentral lists this ribosomal RNA (468 nucleotides) under uncultured bacterium. Its description in RNAcentral is "partial 16S ribosomal RNA". It matches the Rfam family "Bacterial small subunit ribosomal RNA", at positions 28 to 507 of the family's 1533-position model. The record is from RNAcentral.